This 342-nucleotide long non-coding RNA is filed under the name Gossypium barbadense (sea-island cotton). RNAcentral describes it as "long non-coding RNA (GBAR_LNC009128)". The record is from RNAcentral. Lineage: Eukaryota; Viridiplantae; Streptophyta; Magnoliopsida; Malvales; Malvaceae.
UUUAUGCACACCAAUGGUGAACACAAUUCUUGGUAUUUAUAUAUUUUUAAAAGCAAACUCUAGUUGACAUUGUUAAUGGCUAUGUCACUGUCCAUAUAAAUGGAAUAUAUUCUGGUAGUCUUGAAUGGAGAAUUCUUGCACAAGGAAAAUGUUCUUUUGAUGAAUUUUAUUAAUAAAAAUAGGAUCAAACAUCUAUGAUAUCAAAUGAAAAGCCACAUCUUUUGAUGAAAUCAUUGACUCUUUUUUUUUUCUUUUAAUUGGUGACAGAAAAUAGGGGUUGAUAGUGGACAAGUUGAGCAAUCAUCAAUUAGCUUUACAAAAUGAAAAUCCCAGACCAAUAUC